RNAcentral lists this ribosomal RNA (489 nucleotides) under uncultured bacterium. RNAcentral's name for it is "partial 16S ribosomal RNA". It matches the Rfam family "Bacterial small subunit ribosomal RNA", at positions 36 to 507 of the family's 1533-position model. The record is from RNAcentral.
CUGGCGGCGUGCCUAAUACAUGCAAGUCGAGCGAACCGAUGAGGAGCUUGCUCCUCUGACGUUAGCGGCGGACGGGUGAGUAACACGUGGAUAACCUACCUAUAAGACUGGGAUAACUUCGGGAAACCGGAGCUAAUACCGGAUAAUAUAUUGAACCGCAUGGUUCAAUAGUGAAAGACGGGUUUGCUGUCACUUAUAGAUGGAUCCGCGCCGCAUUAGCUAGUUGGUAAGGUAACGGCUUACCAAGGCAACGAUGCGUAGCCGACCUGAGAGGGUGAUCGGCCACACUGGAACUGAGACACGGUCCAGACUCCUACGGGAGGCAGCAGUAGGGAAUCUUCCGCAAUGGGCGAAAGCCUGACGGAGCAACGCCGCGUGAGUGAUGAAGGUCUUCGGAUCGUAAAACUCUGUUAUUAGGGAAGAACAAAUGUGUAAGUAACUAUGCACGUCUUGACGGUACCUAAUCAGAAAGCCACGGCUAACUACGUG